This 382-nucleotide RNase P RNA is filed under the name Akkermansiaceae bacterium. RNAcentral describes it as "RNase P RNA component class A". It matches the Rfam family "Bacterial RNase P class A". From Rfam's summary of the family: Ribonuclease P (RNase P) is a ubiquitous endoribonuclease, found in archaea, bacteria and eukarya as well as chloroplasts and mitochondria. Its best characterised activity is the generation of mature 5'-ends of tRNAs by cleaving the 5'-leader elements of precursor-tRNAs. The record is from RNAcentral. Lineage: Bacteria; Pseudomonadati; Verrucomicrobiota; Verrucomicrobiia; Verrucomicrobiales; Akkermansiaceae.
UUCGCUCCCCGGGCGACCGCGGUUCUCUUUUCGGAGAGGGUCGAGGAAAGUCCGGACACCACAGGGCAACGUGCCUCGUGAAAACGAGGGACGGUUUCGUGUAAGCGGGACCGGACAGAUAGUGCCGCAGAAAAUAUACCGCCCGGCUUGCUGGGUAAGGGUGAAAUGGUGGGGUAAGAGCCCACCGCUCCGAGGGUGACUGAGGAGGCAAGGUAAACCUCGCGUGGUGCAAGACAGAACAGGGGAAGGGCUGCCCGCCCGACCAGGAUCCCCGGGUAUUAGUCGCACUCCACUUCGGUGGGGCCCCGCAAGGGUGAGACAAAUGGUCGCCCAUCCGCCUUCGGGCGGAGGACAGAAUCCGGCUUACAGGGGAGCAACUUGU